CCUUACCUACUCUUGACAUCCAGAGAAGCCAGCGAAGACGCAGGUGUGCCUUCGGGAGCUCUGAGACAGGUGCUGCAUGGCUGUCGUCAGCUCGUGUUGUGAAAUGUUGGGUUAAGUCCCGCAACGAGCGCAACCCUUAUCCUUGUUUGCCAGCGAGUAAUGUCGGGAACUCCAGGGAGACUGCCGGUGAUAAACCGGAGGAAGGUGGGGACGACGUCAAGUCAUCAUGGCCCUUACGAGUAGGGCUACACACGUGCUACAAUGGCGCAUACAGAGGGCAGCCAACUUGCGAAAGUGAGCGAAUCCCAAAAAGUGCGUCGUAGUCCGGAUUGGAGUCUGCAACUCGACUCCAUGAAGUCGGAAUCGCUAGUAAUCGUAGAUCAGAAUGCUACGGUGAAUACGUUCCC
RNAcentral lists this ribosomal RNA (407 nucleotides) under uncultured bacterium. Its description in RNAcentral is "bacterial SSU rRNA". It matches the Rfam family "Bacterial small subunit ribosomal RNA", at positions 969 to 1375 of the family's 1533-position model. The record is from RNAcentral.